This 429-nucleotide ribosomal RNA is filed under the name Actinomycetes bacterium. RNAcentral describes it as "Actinobacteria bacterium partial 16S ribosomal RNA". It matches the Rfam family "Bacterial small subunit ribosomal RNA", at positions 355 to 776 of the family's 1533-position model. The record is from RNAcentral. Lineage: Bacteria; Bacillati; Actinomycetota; Actinomycetes.
UAGGGAAUCUUCCGCAAUGGGCGAAAGCUUGACGGAGCAACGCCGCGUGAGUGAUGAAGGUCUUCGGAUCGUAAAACUCUGUUAUUAGGGAAGAACAAAUGUGUAAGUAAAUAUGCACGUCUUGACGGUACCUAAUCAGAAAGCCACGGCUAACUACGUGCCAGCAGCCGCGGUAAUACGUAGGUGGCAAGCGUUAUCCGGAAUUAUUGGGCGUAAAGCGCGCGUAGGCGGUUUUUUAAGUCUGAUGUGAAAGCCCACGGCUCAACCGUGGAGGGUCAUUGGAAACUGGAACACUUGAGUGCAGGAGAGGAGAGUGGAAUUCCAUGUGUAGCGGUGAAAUGCGCAGAGAUAUGGAGGAACACCAGUGGCGAAGGCGACUUUCUGGUCUGUAACUGACGCUGAUGUGCGAAAGCGUGGGGAUCAAACAGG